AGUAACGAUAAUGCGGGUGAAAAACCCGCACGCCGGAAGACCAAGGGUUCCUGUCCAACGUUAAUCGGGGCAGGGUGAGUCGACCCCUAAGGCGAGGCCGAAAGGCGUAGUCGAUGGGAAACAGGUUAAUAUUCCUGUACCUGGUGUUACUGCGAAGGGGGGACGGAGAAGGCUAUGUUGGCCGGGCGACGGUUGUCCCGGUUUAAGCGUGUAGGCUGGUUUUCCAGGCAAAUCCGGAAAAUCAAG
RNAcentral lists this ribosomal RNA (246 nucleotides) under Salmonella enterica subsp. arizonae. RNAcentral describes it as "partial 23S ribosomal RNA". It matches the Rfam family "Bacterial large subunit ribosomal RNA", at positions 1305 to 1554 of the family's 2925-position model. The record is from RNAcentral. Lineage: Bacteria; Pseudomonadati; Pseudomonadota; Gammaproteobacteria; Enterobacterales; Enterobacteriaceae.